Molecule: long non-coding RNA, 300 nt
Organism: Ananas comosus (pineapple)
Lineage: Eukaryota; Viridiplantae; Streptophyta; Magnoliopsida; Poales; Bromeliaceae
Exons: 5
Source: RefSeq, a predicted model, not a curated record
AUUUCAGCAGCUCAAGGUGACCUAAUUAGCUGUGAAUUAUUCACUUUACACCAGGGAUAAGCUGCUUUGACACUUGGAUAAGGUUUCCGAACCACAUGAAGCUUAUUUGGUGACCUGGGAGGCUGGUUUAGAAAGUGUUCUACUUUGAGCGAGAGGGCAUUUGACCCUUGGACCGACUUUGGUUGGCAGUGGAGGGCCUUUUGGAAGCAUAAUUUGAGCAGCAGUGGGGCUUCGUUGAGCCGAAUUUGGGACUUCCUUUGGACUGUUUGGAGCUUAGAAAUAGAGCCAUCUACAGGAAAG